GAUGAACGCUGGCGGCGUGCCUAAUACAUGCAAGUCGAGCGAACAGACGAGGAGCUUGCUCCUCUGACGUUAGCGGCGGACGGGUGAGUAACAUGUGGAUAACCUACCUAUAAGACUGGGAUAACUUCGGGAAACCGGAGCUAAUACCGGAUAAUAUAUUGAACCGCAUGGUUCAAUAGUGAAAGACGGUUUUGCUGUCACUUAUAGAUGGAUCCGCGCCGCAUUAGCUAGUUGGUAAGGUAACGGCUUACCAAGGCGACGAUGCGUAGCCGACCUGAGAGGGUGAUCGGCCACACUGGAACUGAGACACGGUCCAGACUCCUACGGGAGGCAGCAGUAGGGAAUCUUCCGCAAGGGGCGAAAGCCUGACGGAGCAACGCCGCGUGAGUGAUGAAGGUCUUCGGAUCGUAAAACUCUGUUAUUAGGGAAGAACAAAUGUGUAAGUAACUAUGCACGUCGUGACGGUACCUAAUCAGAAAGCCACGGCUAACUACG
Molecule: ribosomal RNA, 495 nt
Filed under: uncultured bacterium
Lineage: Bacteria
Description: partial 16S ribosomal RNA
Rfam family: Bacterial small subunit ribosomal RNA
Source: RNAcentral